This is a ribosomal RNA of 420 nucleotides. It matches the Rfam family "Bacterial large subunit ribosomal RNA", at positions 1834 to 2457 of the family's 2925-position model.
CUUGACCAAUUAUAAGAGGUCCAGCCUGCCCAGUGACUCUGUUCAACGGCCGCGGUAUCCUAACCGUGCGAAGGUAGCGUAAUCACUUGUUCUUUAAAUAAGGACUAGUAUGAACGGCACCACGAGGGUUAUACUGUCUCCUUUUUCUAAUCAGUGAAAUUGAUCUUCCCGUGAAGAAGCGGAAAUAUUUUUAUAAGACGAGAAGACCCUAUGGAGCUUUAAACAAACUAUAUUUGCCUAACCAUAUUAAUAAUUUCAGAAAAAACAUUUAUUCUAGCAUAAUUCUAGGGAGUUUUGGGUUGGGGUGACCGCGGAGAAAAACAUAUCCUCCGCGAUGAAUAAGAAGCUUUCUUUAGCCAAAAGUUACGACUUUAAGCAUCAACAUAUUGACUUUUUGACCCAAUUAAUUGAUCAACGAAC